UGCGGUUAAACAAAAGUUAAAUUAAAUUUUUUUAGGAUUAAUAAAUAUAAUUAAAUAGAAUAAAUUAAAUUUUAAAUUUUAAGGUGAAAUUUUAAUUUAAUUAAAAUUUAUAUACUUAUAUAAUAUUAAUAAAUUUUUUAAAAAACUAGGAUUAGAUACCCUAUUAUAAAAAUUUAAAUUAAAUAAUCUUAAAAUAGUAUAUAAUUUUUUAUAAAAACUUAAAUAAUUUGGCGGUAUUUUAGUUCAUUUAGAGGAAUCUGUCUAAUAAUUGAUAAUCCACGAUUAAAUUUACUUAAUUUUUAAUUUUGUAUAUCGUUGUUAAAAAAAUAUUUUUAAAUAAUUUUAAUAUUUUAAAAUUUAAAAUAAAAAUUAAAUCAGAUCAAGAUGCAGAUUAUAAUUAAGAAUAUGAUGGAUUACAAUAAAUUUUAUUUAUUGGAUGUUAAUUUGAAAUAAGUUAAUGGAAAUUGGAUUUAAAUGUAAUUUUAUUAAUUUAAUUAAAAUGAUUAAAAAUUAAAAUAUGUACAUAUUGCCCGUCGCUUUCAUUUAUAAAUUGAAAUAAGUCGUAACAAAGUAGAGGUACUGGAAAGUGUUUCUAGAAAGAU
This 602-nucleotide ribosomal RNA is filed under the name Zygaena romeo adumbrata. RNAcentral's name for it is "partial 12S ribosomal RNA". Lineage: Eukaryota; Metazoa; Arthropoda; Insecta; Lepidoptera; Zygaenidae. The record is from RNAcentral.